RNAcentral lists this microRNA precursor (84 nucleotides) under Bombyx mori (domestic silkworm). Its description in RNAcentral is "mir-2807 microRNA precursor family". It matches the Rfam family "mir-2807 microRNA precursor family". Lineage: Eukaryota; Metazoa; Arthropoda; Insecta; Lepidoptera; Bombycidae. The record is from Rfam by way of RNAcentral.
UUAACUCAUAUUUGUAUGGAGCUGGAAAGUAUGUCUACGUUUGCCACUAGGGGCGCUGUUUCAAUUUCAUACAAAUUUGACUUA